AUGCAGAACGUGGUGCCCAUCGGCGAGGGGGACUCUGUGGACGUGCCCCAGGACUCAGAGAGCCAGCUGCAGGAGCAGGAGAAGCGGAUUGAAAUCUCCUGUGCCCUGGCGACCGAGGCCUCCCGCAGGGGCCGCAUGCUGUCUGUGCAAGCCCUGGCUGAGGCCAAUGCUGUGAAGCUACACAGAGCCACCUUCUGAUAGCAUCCACUGCACACCUAGGGCUCUGGCUUCUCAUCCUGGCCUCCCGCCCUCGCACCCACCAUGGGAAUGCCUCAGAGAGCCAGGCUGGGGACCGGGGGCUGCCUCAUAAAGGAACAUGGAUGCCUUCAAGUUCACAUCUGCUGCUCUUGCCCUGAAGCCUGCACUAUCUCGGCAUGGUUCUAAGGCAAGACCUGGGAUGGCAAGGCCAGGAUGGCGUCCUCUCUGAGGCUCCAGUCGCAGGGAGCUCAAGUGCAGUUCUGGAUGGCAUUGUGUGGCCCUCCUGCACCAUCCCCCGAUGGACUCUGUGUGCUGAUGGGGAGCAUGUGCUCAGCUAUGGGUGGGGUCUAGAAGUGAAGACAAGACAGACUCUCCAUCCAUCCCUUGGAACCCAUACAACACAGCGAGAGGCCAGCUCUUGCCAUCACCCCACUCCCGUUCAGUCCCAGCUGCCUCAGCGAUGCCCGAGGCUUUGGCACGGCUCUGCUGGUGGGUUUCCCAGAGUUCACUGGAGGCUGGCCACCCUGCUUGAGCCAAAGAAGAUGAUGAGUUAUAAGGAGAGGCUCCUGGGCUCCCGGAGGGGUCAGGUGUGUUACAGCGAGACGACAGCAGGUCUGCACGGUGUCUGAGGGCAAGUUGGAAACAGGAGCAAGAUGGAAAGAGGGAAGAGGCUUAGAGAGCGAAGGGAGAGAAGGCCAGAUGCUUUUCACAAGCAACAGGAAUGUAAAGAAGGAGGGAAAAGGGAAAGGAGAAUAGGAAUGGCUUCCAUAGUGUAGAGCCUUUGGUUAGUGCCAAGCAGAGGGCCUGUCACCUCUGUACCUUCACGUCUUCCUCAGGUACAGGAGGCCCCAGGGGGACUCGUGCCAGGCACACGUCAGCCCCAGCUGAGGUGCUUGGUAUGAGGUAAGGGAGUGCUAGCGUGAGGUAGCCUGUGAGGUGGUCCUAUCUGUGUCAAGGCUUGCCGUCUCUCUCUGAGGCUCGUGGGCAGAGAGGAGACUGUCUUAUAUAAAGUCUUGUCAACCUUGGGGCCUUACCUAGCCAGUUUAAACCUGGAAAGUACUGUGGGGCUGACUGAGAAUUGCUCUAGGAGGAGGGAAUGAGGAUUUUACUGUGAGGCCAAGUUCUAGGUCUUUCCUUCUCAUCUCAGGCAUCUAGAGCAGAGGCUUUCUUACACCCACCUACCCAGGGAGGACAGGACAGGGAGAGACCGUAACAGAGCACAGUCUUCCUCUAGCCCACCUACCGUACGUGAAUGCAGCCAGAGAGCAGCAAAGGAAGGCUAGCUUCAGGCACCAAGCCCCCAGGCCUGCUCUGCCAGAUUCGCUGCCCAGAGACUUCAGCCUGAACAUCGGUGGCCCCAGGGAAAAAAACUGUGUCAUCUCCCAUCUGUUCAUCGUCACUCCGUCAUGGUCUGGCAGUUACUGGUUCAUAUGCAAGUAAAGAUGACCAUUCACUCAACAAAUGCUAGUCAAGCACUUUUUGUGGAUCAGGUACUGUUCUAGGUGCUUAGGAUAUUGUCUUGCUUCCGGGGGACUCUGGAACAGGAGGAUUCCACCUGUCUUCAGCUCUGUCAGGCCUCUGGGAAGUGCUCCUUUAUGACUUCCUAUAUCUGCAUAAUUCACAAACCCCAAAUCUACCCUUUCUUCCUUAAAGGCUGGUAGGGGAUCAGCUCCCAAGUUACCUUCUCUCCCCAUCCCCUCUUCCAAAAGAAACCAGAUUUUUAGGGCUUUCCCUGCCUUUGUCUCUCCUUUUUAAAAAAAAUAAUGGUAUUUUUAGAAAUACACGUGAAAUACCAAGAAAUGUCUUUGCCUCUCCUACCGCUCUCCCCCGCAUUUCAUAAAGCUGGUUCUUUAUGUUGCUUUACAUGCCUUAAUAUAUGUUUUAUGGAAGUGAUCAUGUCAUAGAUACCCAUGUAAUAUAUAUUUGUCUGGAUGUCAACCCUUUCCUCAGCUCCCGCCCCGACCAGUUUCUGUCCACGUCAUUCUUAGCAUGUUGAAGCCACAAUCCUUGCCUUUUUGAUCCAAAGAAGGGGAGAGGAAAGAUUUAUUUUAAGGCAGACCUUAUUCUAUGCUUUUGUUUAAAAAGCAGAUCUAUUUUCAAAAUGUGCAAUGUCUGAAAGGGACUGAUGAUAUGCGAGGGGACUCGGGUGGCUAUCCCCGGUCCCAGAGUCUAUGCCCUUCCCUCCCCCAGUGGCUUCCUUCCCAUUACCCAGUCAUUGGAAAGGGCUGGUCCCCAGGUUCGCCUGGAUGGUGUUCUGCAGGAGAAAAACAUUUCCCUCGAAAGUCCUGGUCUAAGAAUUUGACUUCACUGUCAACUUUAGAAAGCAGCCCAAGGGAUGUCAAGCAUUGAGGGCAGCAUGUCAAGCAUCUAAAGGAAAUGUUUACAACUGCAGAUGUACAGUCCUCACACGGGCCCCUGGACCACCUCCCAUCAUCCCUCUGUGAGAAAAGGCCAACAGGUUGCUGGCAGCCAUCUUGAAUGGUGUCAGUCUGCUCCCUGACAGACCCAAGACACAAGGCGAAACCCAGAGAGAGAGGCUCGGGACCCCCUGUGUUCUUUGGUGAAUACUGUGAGCUUCCCAGGCCUCUCACACUUUCUCCUGAGCCCACUCUAUGUCACACCUAUUUCCCUCUAAGACUUAUUUUCUAGGAGUUAUGGCACAUCGGUCUGGCAUCCAGACGUGAAGCCUGGUUCCUGGCGGGGGAGGGCCCCCGCAGUCGAAGUUUAAGUCUUUCCCAAGUAGAAGCCCUCAGUGCUCUGACAGGCUGUGGGCUGGAGUUCUGCCUGUGCCAGCUUAGAUUGCCAAACAUGCUUUCUGACAGGUGAUGUGAACAAGGAGGUUGGGAAGGAUAGAGAGACCUCUCCCCAGGUCUGAAACAAUGUGUUUGGGAAUUUUACAUCACUUCUGGCCAGCUUUUGAAGCCUGACCUCCAACUCUGGCAUUUGUUGGCCCUCUUCCCAGACUGGAGCCUCUUGCUGUGAAUGAACAGGACCCCAGACAUAGGCCUAGGGUUAAGCACCCCUUCAGGGGAAAGUUCUGGCUACCCACACAGGGCCUUCCCAAUGAACGCAUUACCUCCUCCCACCGAAAGCCAAAAGGCUGCGAUCAGAUACUGUUACCGUCACUUUAAAGAUUUUUCUGAGGAAGCAAGCUUGCAAGCCGCAAGCGUGCUCUCCUGCUUUUGUGAAAGGCAUGUUCUUGGGGCAAGGCUACUACUGCAAGAUGGAACCCCUUCCUUCCCCCUCAGGCACCCUCCUCCUGGCAGCUCUUUAAGGAAAAAUACUAUAUAUAAAUAUAUAUAAAUAUAUACAUAUCUAUUUAUGCACAUAUUUGGGGCCAAUUUGGUUUGCUAGUGUUAGACAAUAAACCAUACAAGGAAAUCUAUGAUCUCAGUGUCUUUAUUUAGUAUGGAAGUGACCUUAGACAAAGAGUUAAGGUUAGAUGAACAGCCUCUCUGUUGGGAUCACACCGAGGUAGCAUCCCCUGAGCAUCUGUCUAGCCGACCACCCUUCCCUGGAGAGGGAGCGCCUGGCUGAAGCAGGUGAGAACUUGCUCCCACCCUUCAGCCGCAAUCUUACUAGAUUAGGUACUGAAGAGCCCCACUGAGCUCUGCGUUUGUACCUUGCAAGUUUGUAUAAACCAAUGCUGGAAAUAAAAUGAGUGGUUUGUA
This 3869-nucleotide long non-coding RNA is filed under the name Rattus norvegicus (Norway rat). RNAcentral's name for it is "long non-coding RNA NONRATT008708". The record is from RNAcentral. Lineage: Eukaryota; Metazoa; Chordata; Mammalia; Rodentia; Muridae.